GACGUAGGGCGCGAGCGUUGUCCGGAUUUAUUGGGCGUAAAGAGCUCGUAGGCGGCUUGUCGCGUCGACUGUGAAAACCCGCGGCUUAACUGCGGGACUGCAGUCGAUACGGGCAGGCUAGAGUUCGGUAGGGGAGACUGGAAUUCCUGGUGUAGCGGUGAAAUGCGCAGAUAUCAGGAGGAACACCGGUGGCGAAGGCGGUUCUCUGGGCCUUACCUGACGCUGAGGAGCGAAAGCGUGGGGAGCGAACAGG
Molecule: ribosomal RNA, 253 nt
Filed under: uncultured bacterium
Lineage: Bacteria
Description: partial 16S ribosomal RNA
Rfam family: Bacterial small subunit ribosomal RNA
Source: RNAcentral